Molecule: ribosomal RNA, 348 nt
Filed under: uncultured bacterium
Lineage: Bacteria
Description: bacterial SSU rRNA
Rfam family: Bacterial small subunit ribosomal RNA
Source: RNAcentral
GACGUGACUUCAGAGUUUGAUCCUGGCUCAGGAUGAACGCUAGCGGCAGGCUUAACACAUGCAAGUCAGGGGCAGCAUGAUGAAACUUUCGAGUUUUCAUUGAUGGCGACCGGCGCAAGGGUGCGUAACGCGUGAGCAACUUGCCCUUAUCAGGGGGAUAACCGGUGGAAACGCCGACUAAUACCCCAUAGCAUCAAUUUUAAGGCAUCUUUUAUUGAUUAAAGAACUUCGGAUAAGGAUAGGCUCGCGUGACAUUAGCUAGAUGGCGGGGUAACGGCCCACCAUGGCGACGAUGUCUAGGGGUUCUGAGAGGAAGGUCCCCCACACUGGAACUGAGACACGGUCCAG